GUCUGAUCUCUCACGCCCAAUAAUGAAGAAAAUGGAGGGAAAUGGAUGGUGACCUCAGACUCAAUCUUUCCUUCUCACUUCUUCAAUAGGUGGAGUGUCCUGACUUUCCAGAGGCCCAUGUAAGUAUUUAUGGACUCCAUCUAGUUGUCAGGUGCUGGGUCAGAGCUGAAGAUGCAGAGUGAAGGUGACAUACAUAGAGUCUGGCAUGGGAGAGCAGACUCUAAAUGACACCAGGACCUGAACUGUCUGGAAGAGCAUGUAAUGAAGAGGAGAAGUGGAGAACUGGGCAGGAGUGCUUCAGGCAGAGGGGAGAGCAAGUGUAAAGGGCCACAGGUGAGAGGGGACACAGCAGGUGCAAGUGACCGACACUGCUACAUUUUACCUGAAUCCUCUGCUCCUGGGCAACAGCGAAGGUUCAGUAAUCCCUUAGUCUUUUGUGUUCAGAACAGUCUGCUACAAGGAACUUCCCUUCUCCAUAGGACAUAGAGAAGACUCAAGGAUGACCCGUGACAAAGCUAGGCAUAGACACAGGCCCUCCAAAUUCUUAUGCUUUGCCUUAUAAAUGAUUAGCUGAACUGUUUGUCCUCACCCACCAGUUGUAACAAAAUGUCUGUUAAUCAAACCUGAAGAUUUUCUCUCCUUUCCCCAGGUCCCUGUACUUUGGUCCUUCUUCAGCCCAAGCCAGCAUGCAGACCUUCUUCAACAGCAGCUCCUGAGAAGAGGCCACUUCUGAAACCACUGUCACAUCAUCCCACACUCUUCCAUCCUACUUCUGAGUCACACUAGGCUCUUUCUAACCUUGCUCACCC
Homo sapiens (human) is the source of this 809-nucleotide long non-coding RNA. RefSeq lists it as uncharacterized. The transcript has 2 exons. Lineage: Eukaryota; Metazoa; Chordata; Mammalia; Primates; Hominidae. The record is from RefSeq and is a predicted model, not a curated record.